RNAcentral lists this non-coding RNA (24 nucleotides) under Arabidopsis thaliana (thale cress). Lineage: Eukaryota; Viridiplantae; Streptophyta; Magnoliopsida; Brassicales; Brassicaceae. The record is from RNAcentral.
CCCUUUUAUUUGGCAAGUCAGUAC